This 253-nucleotide ribosomal RNA is filed under the name uncultured bacterium. Its description in RNAcentral is "partial 16S ribosomal RNA". It matches the Rfam family "Bacterial small subunit ribosomal RNA", at positions 524 to 776 of the family's 1533-position model. The record is from RNAcentral.
UACGAACUGUGCAAACGUUAUUCGGAAUCACUGGGCUUACAGGGUGCGUAGGCGGCUUGUUAAGUAGGGUGUGAAAGCCCCCGGCUCAACCGAGGAAUUGCGCCCUAAACUGGCGAGCUGGAGUGAGAUAGGGGUGUGUGGAACUUCCGGUGGAGCGGUGAAAUGUGUUGAUAUCGGAAGGAACGCCGGUGGCGAAAGCGACACACUGGAUCUUGUCUGACGCUGAGGCACGAAAGCCAGGGGAGCGAACGGG